GUGCUUGCUUUGGCAGCACAUAUACUGAAAUUGGAACAAUACAGAGAAGAUUAGCAUGGCCCCCGCGCAAGGAUGAGACACAAAUUUGUGAAGAGUUGCAUAUUCUU
This is a small nuclear RNA of Hemicordylus capensis (graceful crag lizard), 107 nucleotides long. The record is from RefSeq and is a predicted model, not a curated record. Lineage: Eukaryota; Metazoa; Chordata; Lepidosauria; Squamata; Cordylidae.